RNAcentral lists this ribosomal RNA (826 nucleotides) under human gut metagenome. RNAcentral describes it as "bacterial LSU rRNA". It matches the Rfam family "Bacterial large subunit ribosomal RNA", at positions 2103 to 2925 of the family's 2925-position model. The record is from RNAcentral.
ACUAUAGCUUUACACUGAACGUUGAGUUCGUCUGUGUAGGAUAGGUGGGAGGCUAUGAAACCAUGGCGCUAGCUGUGGUGGAGCCAUCCUUGAAAUACCACCCUGUCGUGCUUGACGUUCUAACCUGGGCCCAUUAUCUGGGUCGGGGACCGUGUAUGGUGGGUAGUUUGACUGGGGCGGUCUCCUCCUAAAGAGUAACGGAGGAGCUCGAAGGUACGCUCAGCGCGGUCGGACAUCGCGCACUGUGUGCAAAGGCAUAAGCGUGCUUGACUGCAAGAUCGACGGAUCAAGCAGGUAGGAAACUAGGACUUAGUGAUCCGGUGGUUCUGUAUGGAAGGGCCAUCGCUCAACGGAUAAAAGGUACUCCGGGGAUAACAGGCUGAUACCGCCCAAGAGUUCAUAUCGACGGCGGUGUUUGGCACCUCGAUGUCGGCUCAUCACAUCCUGGGGCUGAAGUAGGUCCCAAGGGUAUGGCUGUUCGCCAUUUAAAGUGGUACGCGAGCUGGGUUCAGAACGUCGUGAGACAGUUCGGUCCCUAUCUGCCAUGGGCGUUGGAGAUUUGAGAGGGGCUGCUCCUAGUACGAGAGGACCGGAGUGGACGAACCUCUGGUGUUCCGGUUGUCACGCCAGUGGCAUUGCCGGGUAGCUAUGUUCGGAAGCGAUAACCGCUGAAAGCAUCUAAGCGGGAAGCGCGCCUCAAGAUGAGAUCUCCCGGGGCACAAGCCCCCUGAAGGAACCAUGUAGACUACGUGGUUGAUAGGUCAGGUGUGUAAGUACAGCAAUGUAUUGAGCUAACUGAUACUAAUGAUCCGUGCGGCUUGACCAU